GAUGAACGCUGGCGGCGUGCCUAAUACAUGCAAGUCGAGCGAACAGACGAGGAGCUUGCUCCUCUGACGUUAGCGGCGGACGGGUGAGUAACACGUGGAUAACCUACCUAUAAGACUGGGAUAACUUCGGGAAACCGGAGCUAAUACCGGAUAAUAUAUUGAACCGCAUGGUUCAAUAGUGAAAGACGGUUUUGCUGUCACUUAUAGAUGGAUCCGCGCCGCAUUAGCUAGUUGGUAAGGUAACGGCUUACCAAGGCAACGAGGCGUCGCCGACCUGAGAGGGUGAUCGGCCACACUGGAAAUGAGACACGGUCCAGACUCCUACGGGAGGCAGCAGUAGGGAAUCUUCCGCAAUGGGCGAAAGCCUGACGGAGCAACGCCGCGUGAGUGAUGAAGGUCUUCGGAUCGUAAAACUCUGUUAUUAGGGAAGAACAAAUGUGUAAGUAACUAUGCACGUCUUGACGGUACCUAAUCAGAAAGCCACGGCUAACUACGUG
Molecule: ribosomal RNA, 497 nt
Filed under: uncultured bacterium
Lineage: Bacteria
Description: partial 16S ribosomal RNA
Rfam family: Bacterial small subunit ribosomal RNA
Source: RNAcentral